RNAcentral lists this ribosomal RNA (1421 nucleotides) under metagenome. Its description in RNAcentral is "bacterial SSU rRNA". It matches the Rfam family "Bacterial small subunit ribosomal RNA". The record is from RNAcentral.
AGGGUAUGAUACUGGCUCAGAACGAACGCUGGAGGCGUGGUUCAGGCAUGCAAGUCGAGCGAGAAACCGAAUAACAUCGGGAGUAAAGCGGCGAAAGGGUGAGUAAUGCACAGAUAACUUGCCCGCGAGACCGGGACAACUCGGCGAAAGCUGGGCUAAUACCGGAUAAGACCACAGUCCGCAUGGGCUGCGGUAAAUGGAUGGGGACCCGCAAGGGCCUUUCGCUCGCGGAGAGGUCUGUGUCCUAUCAGCUUGUUGGUAGGGUAACGGCCUACCAAGGCGAUGACGGGUACGAGGCCUUAGAGGGUGUCCUCGCACACUGGGACUGAGACACUGCCCAGACUCCUACGGGAGGCUGCAGUCGAGAAUCUUCCGCAAUGGGCGCAAGCCCGACGGAGCGACGCCUCGUGGAGGAUGAAGGCCUUCGGGUUGUAAACUCCUGUCACGAGCUUGGAAAGACGCCGAGACGAAUACUCUCGGCGUUUGACUUCAACUCGAGAGGAAGCAACGGCUAACUUCGUGCCAGCAGCCGCGGUAAUACGAAGGUUGCGAGCGUUGUUCUGAAUCACUGGGCGUAAAGAGUGCGUAGGCGGUUCCGUGUGUCGGGUGUGAAAGCCCUCGGCCUAACCGAGGAAUUGCGCCUGAAACUACGGGGCUUGAGUGCCGGAGGGGUGACCGGAAUUCCUGGUGGAGCGGUGAAAUGCGUAGAUAUCAGGAGGAACGCCAGUGGCGAAAGCGGGUCACUAGUCGGUAACUGACGCUGUGGCACGAAAGCCAGGGGAGCAAACGGGAUUAGAUACCCCGGUAGUCCUGGCCGUAAACGAUGCAGACUACGUAGAGGGGCUUCCGAUAGCCUCCCUGCCGGAGCAAACGUAUUAAGUCUGCCGCCUGGGGAGUAUGGUCGCAAGGCUGAAACUCAAAGUAAUUGACGGGGGCUCACACAAGCGGUGAAGCAUGUUGCUCAAUUCGAUGUACGCGAGGAACCUUACCCAGGCUUGACAUGCACGGAUUAGUCCAGCGAAAGUUGGAUCACACCCGCAAGGGUGGAACGUGCACAGGUGUUGCAUGGCUGUCGUCAGCUCGUGUCGUGAGAUGUUGGGUUAAGUCCCGCAACGAGCGAAACCCUUGCCCUUAGUUGCCAGUCCCGUUGCAAAACGGGACGCACUCUAAGGGGACUGCCAGUGUCAAACCGGAGGAAGGCGGGGACGAGGUCAAGUCAUCAUGGCCCUUAUGCCUGGGGCUGCAAACGUGCCACAAUGGCCGGUACAGAGUGAAGCGAGGUCGAAAGGCGGAGCUAAUCACAAAAAACCGGUCCCAGUUCGGAUUGGGGGCUGAAACCCGUCCCCAUGAAGCUGGAAUCGCUAGUAAUCGCGCAUCAGCACGGCGCGGUGAAUAUGUUCCUGAGCCUUGUACACACCGCC